GUGCUUGUGGCUGAGUGGUUAAGGAGAUGGAUUAGAAAUCCUUUGGGGCCUUCCCAUGUAGGUUUGAAUCCUGCCAACUAUG
This 82-nucleotide transfer RNA is filed under the name Chelonia mydas (Green sea turtle). It matches the Rfam family "tRNA". Rfam says of the family: Transfer RNA (tRNA) molecules are approximately 80 nucleotides in length. The record is from Rfam by way of RNAcentral. Lineage: Eukaryota; Metazoa; Chordata; Testudines; Cheloniidae.